Molecule: transfer RNA, 87 nt
Filed under: Tissierellia bacterium
Lineage: Bacteria; Bacillati; Bacillota; Tissierellia
Description: tRNA-Leu
Rfam family: tRNA
About the family: Transfer RNA (tRNA) molecules are approximately 80 nucleotides in length. Their secondary structure includes four short double-helical elements and three loops (D, anti-codon, and T loops). Further hydrogen bonds mediate the characteristic L-shaped molecular structure. tRNAs have two regions of fundamental functional importance: the anti-codon, which is responsible for specific mRNA codon recognition, and the 3' end, to which the tRNAs corresponding amino acid is attached (by aminoacyl-tRNA synthetases). tRNAs cope with the degeneracy of the genetic code in two manners: having more than one tRNA (with a specific anti-codon) for a particular amino acid; and 'wobble' base-pairing, i.e. permitting non-standard base-pairing at the 3rd anti-codon position.
Source: RNAcentral
GCCGAGGUGGCGGAAUUGGCAGACGCAGUGGAUUCAAAAUCCACCGAUGUAACAGUCGUGGGGGUUCGAGUCCCUUCCUCGGCACCA